GUGAGUCAUCGAAUCUUUGAACGCAAAUUGCACUCUCUGGCAACCCGGGGAGUAUGCCUGUUUGAGGGUCAGUGUUAAUAAAAAUCGGGUGCGUUGCAAUUUUUGUGACGUUUCCGGAGUUUGAGUUAUAUCUUAAUUAACUUCGGUUUUUUUAAGAGGCUUAAAAUUGACCUUUUUUUGUGCAUUUUAGACGUACAUAAAUUUUUUUUUAUUCCGUCCAUCCUAAUGCCAAAAUCUAUUAGAUGCGACCAUAUCUUGUGGUUCCGUGUCUAUAAAUUUUUCAUGAUUUGACCUCAAAUC
Molecule: unclassified non-coding RNA, 300 nt
Filed under: uncultured Glomeraceae
Lineage: Eukaryota; Fungi; Glomeromycota; Glomeromycetes; Glomerales; Glomeraceae
Description: sequence contains 5.8S rRNA gene, ITS2
Rfam family: 5.8S ribosomal RNA (bases 1-71)
Source: RNAcentral